This 482-nucleotide ribosomal RNA is filed under the name uncultured bacterium. RNAcentral describes it as "bacterial SSU rRNA". It matches the Rfam family "Bacterial small subunit ribosomal RNA", at positions 28 to 505 of the family's 1533-position model. The record is from RNAcentral.
GACGAACGCUGGCGGCGUGCUUAAUACAUGCAAGUCAACUGAACUUGAAGUAGCAAUAUUUCAAGGGAGGUGGCGCACGGGUGAGUAACACGUAGGUAAUCUGCCUUUAGGUCUGACAUAAUUCCGCGAAAGCGGGACUAAUUUCAGAUGAUGCAGCGGCUCGACAUCGAGACAGUUGUUAAAUCUUCGGAGCCUAAAGAUGAGCCUGCGUCUGAUUAGGUAGUUGGCGGAGUAAAAGCCCACCAAGCCUGCGAUCAGUAGCUGGUCUGAGAGGAUGAUCAGCCACACUGGAACUGAGACACGGUCCAGACUCCUACGGGAGGCAGCAGUAAGGAAUAUUGCGCAAUGGAGGCAACUCUGACGCAGCCAUGCCGCGUGCAGGAAGAAGGCGCUACGCGUUGUAAACUGCUUUUAUCCGGGAAGAAACCCCAGGACGUGUCCUGGGUUGACGGUACCGGAGGAAUAAGCACCGGCUAACUUCG